Molecule: small nuclear RNA, 74 nt
Filed under: Cervus elaphus hippelaphus
Lineage: Eukaryota; Metazoa; Chordata; Mammalia; Artiodactyla; Cervidae
Source: RNAcentral
GGUGGCGCCAAUACUGAGACGAGAGCGCUACCGAGGUGAGCACAGCCCCUGCGCAAGGAGAACGUGCAAAUUCG